AUUGAACGCUGGCGGCAGGCCUAACACAUGCAAGUCGAGCGGAUGAAGGGAGCUUGCUCCUGGAUUCAGCGGCGGACGGGUGAGUAAUGCCUAGGAAUCUGCCUGGUAGUGGGGGAUAACGUCCGGAAACGGGCGCUAAUACCGCAUACGUCCUGAGGGAGAAAGUGGGGAUCUUCGGACCUCACGCUACCCGAUGAGCCUAGGUCGGAUUAGCUAGUUGGUGGGGUAAAGGCCUACCAAGGCGACGAUCCGUAACUGGUCUGAGAGGAUGAUCAGUCACACUGGAACUGAGACACGGUCCAGACUCCUACGGGAGGCAGCAGUGGGGAAUAUUGGACAAUGGGCGAAAGCCUGAUCCAGCCAUGCCGCGUGUGUGAAGAAGGUCUUCGGAUUGUAAAGCACUUUAAGUUGGGAGGAAGGGCAGUAAGUUAAUACCUUGCUGUUUUGACGUUACCAACAGAAUAAGCACCGGCUAACUUCGUG
Molecule: ribosomal RNA, 483 nt
Filed under: uncultured bacterium
Lineage: Bacteria
Description: partial 16S ribosomal RNA
Rfam family: Bacterial small subunit ribosomal RNA
Source: RNAcentral